RNAcentral lists this ribosomal RNA (457 nucleotides) under uncultured bacterium. RNAcentral's name for it is "bacterial SSU rRNA". It matches the Rfam family "Bacterial small subunit ribosomal RNA", at positions 28 to 507 of the family's 1533-position model. The record is from RNAcentral.
GACGAACGCUGGCGGCAUGCCUAACACAUGCAAGUCGAACGGGAAGCCACCUUCGGGUGGUGGAGAGUGGCGGACGGGUGAGUAACGCGUAGGAAUCUGCCUGGCAGCGGGGGACAACCUGGAGAAAUUCAGGCUAAUACCGCAUACGCCCUACGGGGGAAAGAUGGGGAUCUUCGGACCUGUCACUGUCAGAUGAGCCUGCGUUAGAUUAGCUUGUUGGUGGGGUAAUGGCCUACCAAGGCGACGAUCUAUAGCUGGUCUGAGAGGAUGAUCAGCCACACUGGGGCUGAGACACGGCCCAGACUCCUACGGGAGGCAGCAGUGGGGAAUAUUGGACAAUGGGCGCAAGCCUGAUCCAGCAAUGCCGCGUGUGUGAAGAAGGCCUUAGGGUUGUAAAGCUCUUUCAGUGGGGACGAUAAUGACGGUACCCGCAGAAGAAGCCCCGGCUAACUUCGUG